CAGGAACACACACACCAUCACACCACCCUAUCACACGACAAACCUGGGCUUUCAUUUGACUUCAGAAUGCUUCCCGUACACAGUGUCUACCCUCUGGUUUUAGGGAAAACCAUGAACUCCGAUAAGCACUUUAUGGAUUGUCUCAGAUCCGAAAUGAAGCUACAUGAAGUGGACUCGCAGAAUGACUGUGAUGUCCUCAUUGCUUUCGUCCCGAUUGUGUCUCGAGCUGGAACGGACAUUCAAGCUGCUCUUGAAAGAAUUCCCAAACAUUCAUACAAGCGCGUCGUUCUGGUGUCUCUCCACCACACAUUCGAUCAGGAUUACAUCGCUCCGGACAGCAGACACUCUGUUCACAGGAAUGACGUGUUUGCUGUGGACUGUCUCUAUCAUGAAGACAUGGGACUGCUGAAAUCCCGAACCAAUGAUGAGGCACUGAAAAGAGUAAUAAAGCAUCUAGGAGGAGAAACACCAUAUAAGGUCUCUGAAUGGAGCCUGUUGAUUGUGAAUAAAAUGGGUGCGGACAAGACCGAAUUUAUUCCUUGGUUAUGUGCCGUGCUGAGCAGCCUUUGUUUAUACUUUGUUCUGCCAGAAGGGUACAGCUUCUUCCACUUCUUAAUUUUGGAGAUAUUGCUGCUGAUUAUCAUAUCUGUGUCCCUGAGUUACUACAGCAAGUAUCUCAAAAAUAGCAAAUACCACCUUGGGAAGUGGACUCUUUGGAUUUUUACUGGUAUGAACGUUGUCCUCAUACUUGUAUUUCAGAGUUCCACUAAGGAGUCUGUGCAUGAGUUGAAUAAUGCCACUGAACACAGUCAAAACAUGUGAUACGGAUAAUAUUGCUUUGCCUGAUAUUGUGGUAUGUGGUUUAGAAAACUUGUUAAUAUUAAAUAAACACUUCUCUGUUCAAUAAUAAACUAUAGGCAUGGGGACAAAAAUAUGUUCAUUUGUGGUUUUGUUAAAAGUUCAAAUUAAAAGAAGUGAAUUCAG
This is a long non-coding RNA of Ictalurus punctatus (channel catfish), 984 nucleotides long. The record is from Ensembl. Lineage: Eukaryota; Metazoa; Chordata; Actinopteri; Siluriformes; Ictaluridae.